UACAGAGGGUGCAAGCGUUAAUCGGAAUUACUGGGCGUAAAGCGUGCGUAGACGGUAGCGUAAGUCGGGUGUGAAAGCCCCGGGCUCAACCUGGGAAUUGCAUUCGAGACUGCUCUGCUAGGGUGCGGAAGAGGGAAGCGGAAUUUCCGGUGUAGCGGUGAAAUGCGCAGAUAUCGGAAGGAACACCAGUGGCGAAAGCGGCUUCCUGGUCCAGCACCGACGUUCAGGCACGAAAGCGUGGGGAGCAAACAGG
Molecule: ribosomal RNA, 253 nt
Filed under: uncultured bacterium
Lineage: Bacteria
Description: partial 16S ribosomal RNA
Rfam family: Bacterial small subunit ribosomal RNA
Source: RNAcentral